This is a long non-coding RNA of Mauremys reevesii (Reeves's turtle), 981 nucleotides long. RefSeq lists it as uncharacterized. The record is from RefSeq and is a predicted model, not a curated record. The transcript is spliced from 5 exons. Lineage: Eukaryota; Metazoa; Chordata; Testudines; Geoemydidae.
UGUGGGGGAAGCAGCCAAUCGGGCCCCAGCCAGCUAGUAUAAGAAGAGCUGCAGGGCCAAACUGAGAUCAGUCCCUUGCUAGACCUGGAGGAGAGUGGAUGAUGCGCUGGGCUGGCUGCUAGGACUCCACCAGGACAAGGCCCUAAGGUAUGGGUGAAGAAUGUGCUGGACCCACGGGGAAGUGGCCCAGGGAAUUGCAGGAGGAAUGCAGUUUAUUUAAAAGGGACAUGGUGGAUGGCUGAGGGUGGAGACCCAGAGUAGAGAGCGGGCCCGGGUCUCCCCCACCAGCUACCGGGAAAGUAGCCUGGACUUUGAUGCACACCGGAAGGGGAGUUGUACUCUUUUGGUGGCCUAGCUGAAGAGCUGGGGCCAGAAAGGCCCAGAGAGGCAAAGCGUCUCCAGGGAGGGAGCCCUGAGGGACGUGGUCCAACACUAAGGCUGAAGAGAUAAGAUCCUUCACGUUAUUGAAUAAGAUUGAUUAGCUCCUGACACACUACUUUUCCUUGGAGGACUCUGGCAACCUUUGGUGGACAAGCAGCAGGACGUCACAAGGGACCAUCACCUGAUCUAAAGGAAGAAAGCACAAAACCAUUCAGAGCUCUCAGGACCACCACAUUUUUAUCUCUUGGCAGUAUCCUCCUCUGCAGGAGAGGGAUCAAAAGAGGGAAGAGAAGCACUUGAACUUGCCCUGUGAAGGAAUGUAGUUAGUGCUAGGUCACAGUUCUCUCUCCCUGCCAUGUCAGAAAUAACUUUACAUUCCUUACAUAACGUCAUCUCCAAACAUCUUGUGAUCUCCUGUACAUUAACUGAGGAUGGACAACAUUAAAAAAAACAAUGGAGCACAGGGACGGGGGAGCGGAGAUUCUGCAUCAUCACUUGAGACACUCAAUAUUUGAGCAGAAUAACUUCACUGCAGCAUCAUGUAAAAUGAGAAGAUGAGCUAGGAAGAACUAAGCCUUUAUUUAAACACAAGUAUCCAAC